Molecule: ribosomal RNA, 408 nt
Filed under: uncultured bacterium
Lineage: Bacteria
Description: partial 16S ribosomal RNA
Rfam family: Bacterial small subunit ribosomal RNA
Source: RNAcentral
AGUGAACGCUGGCGGCGUGCCUAAUACAUGCAAGUCGAACGGAGUGGCUCACGGGUGAGUGAUAUAUAGCUAACUUGCCCAUUACUAAGGGACAACAGUUGGAAACGACUGCUAAUACCUUCUAGUAAUGGAUAGGGCUAUAUCGUAUCAGCUAGUUGGUAAGGUAACGGCUUACCAAGGCUAUGACGCGUAACUGGUCUGAUAGGAAGAUCAGUAAACCUGGAACGGAGACACGGGCCGGACACCUACGGGAGGGAGCAGUAGGGAAUAUUGCUCAAUGGGGGAAACCGUGGAAGAGCAACGGGGCGUAAAGGAUUACACUUUGCGAAGCGUAAACUCCUUUUAUUGGGAAAGCGGUACCCAAGGAAUAAGCACCGGCUAACUCCGUGCCAGCAGCCGCGGUAAUAC